GACGAACGCUGGCGGCGUGCCUAAUACAUGCAAGUUGAGCGCUGAAGGUUGGUACUUGUACCGACUGGAUGAGCAGCGAACGGGUGAGUAACGCGUGGGGAAUCUGCCUUUGAGCGGGGGACAACAUUUGGAAACGAAUGCUAAUACCGCAUAAAAACUUUAAACACAAGUUUUAAGUUUGAAAGAUGCAAUUGCAUCACUCAAAGAUGAUCCCGCGUUGUAUUAGCUAGUUGGUGAGGUAAAGGAUCACCAAGGCGAUGAUACAUAGCCGACCUGAGAGGGUGAUCGGCCACAUUGGGACUGAGACACGGCCCGAACUCCGACGGGAGGCAGCAGUAUGGAAUCUUCGGCAAUGGACGAAAGUCUGACCGAGCAACGCCGCGUGAGUGAAGAAGGUUUUCGGAUCGUAAAACUCUGUUGGUAGAGAAGAACGUUGGUGAGAGUGGAAAGCUCAUCAAGUGACGGUAACUACCCAGAAAGGGACGGCUAACUACGUGCCAGCCGCCGCCGUAA
Molecule: ribosomal RNA, 513 nt
Filed under: uncultured bacterium
Lineage: Bacteria
Description: partial 16S ribosomal RNA
Rfam family: Bacterial small subunit ribosomal RNA
Source: RNAcentral